Molecule: ribosomal RNA, 101 nt
Filed under: Caerostris darwini
Lineage: Eukaryota; Metazoa; Arthropoda; Arachnida; Araneae; Araneidae
Source: RNAcentral
AACGGCCAUACCAUGCUGAAUAUACCGGUUCUCGUUAGAUCACCGAAGUUAAGCAUCAUUGGGCGCGGUCAGUACUUGGGUGGGUGACCACCUGGGAACAA